RNAcentral lists this long non-coding RNA (930 nucleotides) under Marmota monax (woodchuck). Lineage: Eukaryota; Metazoa; Chordata; Mammalia; Rodentia; Sciuridae. The record is from RNAcentral.
UUGGAGGGAACCCUCUUAGGAUACAGGAUUUACACUUCAGCAAGGACCACAGGAGAUGGUUUGGAUGUGCUAUGAGGGUACCCCUGGAAUCCUAGAAAAAGUGAUGCUCUACACUGAGCAAAGUUGAAAUUCAUGAAUUUGCCAUAUCAGCGGUAAAGGAAGGAAUUUAGAAGCUUGGGGAAGUAGACAUGCUGAAAUGGAUCUAUUAUCUGAGACUGAGCAUGGGGUUAUGUUUCAUGGAAGAUCCUGAGACAACAUCCACCACAACUGCAAAGAGUACAGCGCAAAGCUCAGUGAUGAUGGUUCUCUUCUGCAAGCCAGGCAUGAAGGUGGAGGGGAGUGACAGAGCUGGGAUUAUUGAUCGAAACAGAAACAAGACUCCCGAUCCCACUGCCAAGCCAGCAGACCAGGGGCAGCAGUAGAUCCCAGGGAGCCCAAUCAUCUCAAUGACAGCAAAGUUAAACAGCGGGUCAAGGGGACUUAAUAAAAGUUUAUAACCCCAGGGGCAAAAUAGAUGGGCAACCAACCAGGACACUGCUCAAUAUACAUAAUGAAAUUUAAUAUAUGUAAUAGAUGAGCAGGAGCUUGAUCGCAGUUACCCCAAUGCCAAGUCAAAAAGUCCUGAAGUAGAGAAAACCCGCGUGCACUGUGGAUGAGGGUGUAAAUGGUGUGACCACUGUGGAAAGCUGUUUGGUAGUUCCUCGAAAAACUAAAAAGGGAAUUACCAUAUGACCCAGCAGUCUCACUCCUGGAUAUGUAUCCAAAAGAAUUAAAAGAUGAAGCUCAAGGAAAUAUCUUCAUAACCAUGCUCAUGGAAGCAUUAUUCACAGUAGCCGAGAGGAGGAAGCAACUUAAGAGUCCAUCUAUGGAUUAAUGGAUAAUAAAAUAUGGUAUAAACAUAUAAUAUAAUAUCAUUCACCCUUAGAAAAG